AUUGAACGCUGGCGGCAUGCCUUACACAUGCAAGUCGAACGGUAACAGGUUAAGCUGACGAGUGGCGAACGGGUGAGUAAUAUAUCGGAACGUGCCCAGUCGUGGGGGAUAACGUAGCGAAAGCUACGCUAAUACCGCAUACGAUCUACGGAUGAAAGCGGGGGAUCGCAAGACCUCGCGCGAUUGGAGAGGCCGAUAUCAGAUUAGGUUGUUGGUGAGGUAAAGGCUCACCAAGCCUGCGAUCCGUAGCUGGUCUGAGAGGACGACCAGCCACACUGGAACUGAGACACGGUCCAGACUCCUACGGGAGGCAGCAGUGGAGAAGUUUGGACAAUGGACGCAAGUCUGAUCCAGCAAUGCCGCGUGCAGGACGAAGGCCUUCGGGUUGUAAACUGCUUUUGUACGGAACGAAACGGCGAGCUCUAAUACAGUUUGCUAAUGACGGUACCGUAAGAAUAAGCACCGGCUAACUACGUGCCAGCAGCCGCGGUAA
Molecule: ribosomal RNA, 493 nt
Filed under: uncultured bacterium
Lineage: Bacteria
Description: partial 16S ribosomal RNA
Rfam family: Bacterial small subunit ribosomal RNA
Source: RNAcentral